Molecule: ribosomal RNA, 159 nt
Filed under: uncultured Chloroflexota bacterium
Lineage: Bacteria; Bacillati; Chloroflexota
Description: uncultured Chloroflexi bacterium partial 16S ribosomal RNA
Rfam family: Bacterial small subunit ribosomal RNA
Source: RNAcentral
UACAAUGGGUGAUACAAAAGGUUGCGAUAGAGCGAUCUGGAGCUAAUCCUGAAAAAUCAUCCUCAGUUCGGAUUGCAGGCUGAAACGGCCUGCCAUGAAGUUGGAGUUGCUAGUAACCGCAGGUCAGCACACUGCGGUGAAUACGUUCUCGGGCCCGUU